This is a long non-coding RNA of Zalophus californianus (California sea lion), 440 nucleotides long. RefSeq lists it as uncharacterized. The record is from RefSeq and is a predicted model, not a curated record. NCBI's taxonomy places the organism in Eukaryota, Metazoa, Chordata, Mammalia, Carnivora, Otariidae. The transcript has 4 exons.
CGAGGCUCUGAUCCUGGGAAGCUCACAGUCUCCGGGAAAACUGAUGGCAAACAGGUAAACAAGCAAGAUCAUUACAAGAGCUAUAAAAAGAAGAAACCGGGGCAUGUAACCAACCGUGACCAAAGGAUCUCGCAUGUGAGACUCAGCGCCUUCUCUAGAUUCCACGAAUCUUUAUCGGGAAAAUACUUUGAUAAACGCCCGUAGUAGGAACUAAGCCUCCGACACAUCUAAGUAAGGAAGGAAGGGAGGAAGGGAGGACGUGAUGUGCUCAUGUACUCCAUGUGCUUGAUGUGCCUGGAUUUCUUUGGAGACGGGAGAAGUAGCUGAGCUCCGCAGCAGGAAUGUGGAGGAGGGUGUUGGAGGCACGUGAAGGGGUAAACAAAGCAGAGAGAAUGUGGCAGGAGCCAGACGGUGUCCACCAACAGAGACAACAUUCCUCA